CCUCCUUUAAAGAAAACCGGAAGCUGUUGGUCGAGGAAGGAAGCUGCCUCCAAACAAGCACUAGUUAUAAAAGUUCAACAUUUGUGUGACCAAAGUUUGACUCGACAAUGUCCGGAUCAUCCAACAUCGCAGCGAUGAAGAAAAUCGUCCAGCAGCUGCGUCUAGAAGCCGGAAUCCACAGAGUCAAGGUGUCCCAGGCCGCCGCCGACCUGCAGCAGUUCUGCCUGCAGAACGCCCAGCAGGACCCUCUGCUCACCGGCAUGUCCUCCAGCAACAACCCGUUCAGACCGCAGAAGGUCUGCUCCUUCCUAUAGCAGCCUCCGCCUCUGUGAGUGACAACCAGACACAUCUGCACGGCCUCUGGUGUAGCUCUGCCAGAGGUGAAGGAAUUCAAUCCAGAGCAACUGUAUUGUCCCCAGAGGGUUUUGGACAUUGUGGUGCCUUGUGGAACUGAGCUGCAGGAUCCUGCAUCAUGGACUGGAAUCGUCUCAGGAGUUAUAGGAAAUUUCGGGACAAACGACUAACUUAAGAUUUUCUUUUUUUUUUUGAACUGUUGCCUUUGUAAAAUCUGAUCCAGAAACAUUUCCAGGUGCUUAGGGGGCACAAUAGAUGUCUUAACCUACUUGCUUUAAAUUAACUAGCCCACAUCAUCACCCACUGUGCCUUUUGAAUUGUACAUGUUUUUCCAUUCAUGAUUGAUUUUGAGAAAAGAAAAAAAAAUCAAUGGUAUUUCCAUAGUUGAAAGUUUUAAUAAAAGUAUACACAUAUUUAGAAA
Platichthys flesus (European flounder) is the source of this 775-nucleotide RNA transcript. It is a transcript of the gene named guanine nucleotide-binding protein G(I)/G(S)/G(O) subunit gamma-5, with no coding region annotated. NCBI's taxonomy places the organism in Eukaryota, Metazoa, Chordata, Actinopteri, Pleuronectiformes, Pleuronectidae. The record is from RefSeq and is a predicted model, not a curated record. The transcript is spliced from 3 exons.